UCUCCGUAGGUGAACCUGCGGAGGGAUCAUUACAGAGUUCAUGCCCUACCGGGUAGAUCUCCCACCCUAUGUUAUUAUUACUUGGUUGCUUUGGCGGGCCGUUAGGCUCCGGCCCGACUACCGGCCCCGGCUGGUAAGCGCCCGCCAGAGGACCCAAAACCCUGAAUAUUAGUGUCGUCUGAGUACUAUAUAAUAGUUAAAACUUUCAACAACGGAUCUCUUGGUUCUG
RNAcentral lists this unclassified non-coding RNA (229 nucleotides) under plant metagenome. RNAcentral describes it as "partial contains small subunit ribosomal RNA, internal transcribed spacer 1, and 5.8S ribosomal RNA". The record is from RNAcentral.